Long non-coding RNA from Ziziphus jujuba (common jujube), 758 nucleotides. RefSeq lists it as uncharacterized. The transcript has 2 exons. Lineage: Eukaryota; Viridiplantae; Streptophyta; Magnoliopsida; Rosales; Rhamnaceae. The record is from RefSeq and is a predicted model, not a curated record.
AUAUAUAAUAUAUAUAAUAUUGAGAGGGCUGACCAAAAGAAUUACAAAAAAUCCUCGAAAUUUCUAUGAAAAGGAGAGUCAAGCGCCCUGCGCGUUUUUCUUUUUAUAUUUUAGAAACUUAAUUCGUUUCUUUGAAAGUUUCAUGUCUCUGCAGCUGUCUUAAUUCAUCGCUUUCAAAGUUUCUUUGAAAGUUUUAUCUCUCUCCAGCUGUCCUUUGGUUCAUAUUACGCAAUUUUUGUCUUCUCUUUCUUCGUCUAUAUAUAUAUAUAUAUAUAAAAUGUAAUGUCUAACCCAGAAAUAUUCCUGCUAUCAAUCUGCAAUCUCUCCUAUCCCACCCCCAAAAAAAAAAAAAAAAAAAAAAAAAAGGAAUAUCUACCAUGUGUCUCUCUUAUGCCUACAUUGCUGCAUUUAAAUACAACCAGCCAAUGAUGCAGCAAAUUAAGAGUCUUCAGAGAGCAUAAAUUUUUAAGAAUAUUGGGCCAUCUUACAAUUGUUGGAGGGUUGCUAUGCCAAGAAUUUGGCCCGGGUCCAAGAGCAGAGUUACCUUGCCAGAGGUUUUUUUUGUUUUGUUUUGUUUUUUUUUUUUUUUUUUUUUUUUUCCUUGACAUGGUUCGUUUUAUACCGUUGUUGGUUUUUUAUUUUUUAUUUUUUUAAAUUAAAAUUUGGAAUAGUUGUACUUUAAUUCUAUUUUGGGAUGAUUAUGUUUUCGAUGCUCAUUUUCAAAAUAAUGCAAUUUAGACGAUAUGUUUUUCAGGAAA